Molecule: non-coding RNA, 96 nt
Organism: Mycena latifolia
Lineage: Eukaryota; Fungi; Basidiomycota; Agaricomycetes; Agaricales; Mycenaceae
Source: the annotation of a GenBank genome assembly
GGCCUGGUAGCAUAGUUGGUUAGUGCGCCUGCAGGAAAUCGGUUGUUUCUCGAAGUCUUCUGCAGAAUGAUCCCUGUUCGACUCAGGGUCAGGUCA